Molecule: non-coding RNA, 31 nt
Filed under: Hemiselmis andersenii
Lineage: Eukaryota; Cryptophyceae; Cryptomonadales; Hemiselmidaceae
Source: RNAcentral
UCUAUUUUUUUUUAAUUUUUUUUUUUUUAAU